GGAGAUUGCGCCACUGCACUCCAGCCUGGGCGACAGAGUGAGACUCCGUCUCAAAAAAGAAAAAAAGAAUGAUUUGCUAAUUAUGCAGGCAGCUGAUCCAGUGCUGUGUAACCUUGGGGGCCACCAGAUGCCAAUCAGUAGAAUGGGAGAGAAGGAAGGAUGGAGGAAGUGAGGACAAGGGGCAAGGAGGAAGGUCUGUCCACCUGUCUCUUUUGUGCAGGAGGUGUCCAAGCAGGAGGAGCACGUCACAUCCCCACUGAAAAAGCCCACAGAAAAUGAAAAGCCCACAUGCUUGUCCAUUGCUGCAGGAUGGGGGCAAGUGGAGGGGGAGAGGUGUCGGCGCUCCCACCUUACUCCCAGUCAUGGCUGACUCCUCCCUUUCCUUCGUUCUUGUUCCUAAUCUGUCACCAUGUCCUGUCGUUUUCUUUGUCUCACCCAACCCUCUGUGCCUGCAAAUCCCCUGACUGCAGCCUCAUCCCUGUCACCUCCUGACUGUAGUUGGUGACAGAAGAGGAGGCUGCACCAGUGAAGGAGCAGGGACUCCAGGUCUGGCAACAACCAGGGAUGGGGCCGGGUGGGGGUGACUUGGACCAGGAGAGGGGCCUGAGUCAGGCAGUCACAUGCUUCAUGCUGGGGUCCCCCAAGUGAGGCACAGCCCGGGGUCCCGGGAAGAAGACCAAGCCUCAUUUCAGGUUGCUUGUGGCCAAAGACAGGACCUGUGUACCCAACAACCCCUGGGACUUUUGCAGGAAACAGCAAACACCAUUCGCUCACUCGAGUUAGAUAAACACUGAGCGAAAAGUCACUGGAGCCCAAGGACUGUGCGGGGUCAGUGCUGCCGAUACAAGAACCGCAGCCCUCCAGCUCGGCUCCCUCAACGGCCUGCGCUGCAGCCACACUGGCCUCCUUUCAGGUCUGUCUCUCCUGCCAGAGUGUAUACACCAGUUGGACAAGGACGCUGCCUUAUUCAUCACUGGAUCUAUAGUGAUUUGCUCAGUGCCUUGCACACAGGCACUGUUGGGUAAAUAUUUUCUGGCUGCAGGAAAGAGUGAAGGACUAACCUCCCCAACCCCCCUCCCACCCCCGCCCCUUGCUACCUCGUGGGAGGAAGAGCAUGAAUUGGGAGAGCAGAGCCACCACAGGAAACCAGGAGGCUAGGUGGGGUGGAAGGGAGUGAGCUCUCCGGCUCUCAGGAGCGAAAGCUUCCAAGUUGGGCUCUCCCCUUGGCCCCUUCCACCCAGGAAAGACAGCUGGGUCCGCCAGGACCAAGAAUCCCCAAAGGGGCUGCUCCCAGAGGUUGUGUUGCAGGGACUGGAGAGAGGACUUCCCAGUACAGGGGGUGGCCCUCUGAUCAGGUGGGGGUGGGUGGCAGCAGAGCAUUUGGUAGGAGGUCAGGAGCUCACAGGAGAUGGGAUUCUGCCGAUGCCUGCUGAAUGAAUGAGGGAGGGAGACGGCAGGACCAGGGACUGGGGAAUUGGUACUAAGGUGCUGGGUACCUGCCGGGCACUCUGUCCAUACAUGAUCUCAGUUCAGCUCUCCACCUUGGAAACACAAGAAAGGAGCCGUGGCUGCAGAGAAAAACAGAGGCUGGAAACAGGGGUACAUGGGCAGGGUGGUGGUGGUGAGAGAAUUGCCUGAAUCAGCUGCCAAAUGGUGCCCAGGUUGGAAAAGCAAAUGUGCACACAUGGGUUCUUCCCACUCUAACCCUGAGGAAUUAGAGGCCUGCUUCUGACACAGACUGGGCAGUGGCUAGUGACUCUAGGUAUAGAGUAUCCAGGCCCUGCUCACCCAGGCUAGAGCUUAGGGAGCCAGAAGGAAGGAGGUGCAUGUUGGGGUGCAGGACAGGAGGGAAAAAUACUCGAAUUGCAAGGUGAGGGCACAGUCUAUUUAUAUUGGGUUGAAUUAACUCCUCCCCCUGAUGCCACUAAAGCAGGAAUCACACUGCAGAUGGCACUGAUUUGAUUGGCAAGAGACAUGCCAGGAAGAAUAUUAAGGGACCGGACCCCUAUAAUUAGGCCUAAUCAUAGCCUGUUGUUUGAAAAGGGCAUGAAGGACAUUCAUCAGGCCUGGCACUGUGCCCUAGACCUGCUCUCCUGGGUAGUGGGACCCUCCGUGGCAACAGAGGUGUGGGUGGGCCUGGGUGAGUGUGGCAAGAAAUGCCUCGGAGGCUCUAUUUGGCCUUAAAGUGCUGUGUGACCUUGGAUAAACUGCCCUCUCUGAAUCUCUGGUCCUUUCCAUUUCCCAUUCUCCAGGCUGAGAACUGCACUGUGAUAUAUGGUUAUUCCCAUAAUAAUAAUGUGUGUAUCAUGCAUAAUGCACUGCACCUCUUCACCACGCUGGUGCCCACUCUUCUGCUCCCCCUGCCGGAUUCCUCAGCCCCUUCUACCCUGAUGGUUCUCUCCUUUCCUCCUCAGGCCAGCACUUCCCAUGAUCUGAGAUGUCCGUCCUCCUUCCUCUUCAACUUUUUCUCCAGCAGUGAGUUCCUCCUCCUAACUGAGGCUUCCAGGAAGGAUAUCCUCUGCUUCUCAGACCUGAACCUGCCUUGAAUACUCAUGAGGACCCAGGAGCUACUCCUCACCUCCCACUUCUCUUCCCUCCUGUCAGAUAACCAAGGCACGGCCAACUGAUCUCCAACCAUCUGAGGAACCCAACCGUGUGAGACCACCCACACCUUUCAAGAAUGUUCCUCCCCUCCCCUUCUUUGUAUUUAUACUGAUGCAAAUUUGCUGGCCAUCUUAACUCAGUCCUGUGCCUCAGUUCUCCCACCUGUAAGAUCAGGAGGAGGAUAAAGAUGUAAGACUUUCUG
RNAcentral lists this long non-coding RNA (2806 nucleotides) under Homo sapiens (human). Its description in RNAcentral is "HSALNT0366613". Lineage: Eukaryota; Metazoa; Chordata; Mammalia; Primates; Hominidae. The record is from RNAcentral.